This 111-nucleotide ribosomal RNA is filed under the name Escherichia coli. RNAcentral also lists the same sequence under 1 other name. Lineage: Bacteria; Pseudomonadati; Pseudomonadota; Gammaproteobacteria; Enterobacterales; Enterobacteriaceae. The record is from RNAcentral.
UAGCGGCCUUAGCGCGGUGGUCCCACCUGACCCCAUGCCGAACUCAGAAGUGAAACGCCGUAGCGCCGAUGGUAGUGUGGGGUCUCCCCAUGCGAGAGUAGGGAACUGCCA